GACGAACCGUGCGAACGUUAUUCGGAAUCACUGGGCUUAAAGCGCGUGUAGGCGGGCCGCCGCGUCGGCUGCUGAAAUCCCCCGGCUCAACCGGGGAACGGGCACCGAUACGGGCGGCCUCGAGGGGGGUAGGGGGGACCUGGGAACUUCCGGUGGAGCGGUGAAAUGCGUUGAGAUCGGAAGGAACGCCCGUGGCGAAAGCGAGGUCCUGGACCCUUUCUGACGCUGACGUACGCGAAAGCCAGGGGAGCGAACGGG
RNAcentral lists this ribosomal RNA (258 nucleotides) under uncultured bacterium. RNAcentral's name for it is "partial 16S ribosomal RNA". It matches the Rfam family "Bacterial small subunit ribosomal RNA", at positions 524 to 776 of the family's 1533-position model. The record is from RNAcentral.